This is a long non-coding RNA of Capsella rubella, 304 nucleotides long. RefSeq lists it as uncharacterized. The transcript has 2 exons. The record is from RefSeq and is a predicted model, not a curated record. NCBI's taxonomy places the organism in Eukaryota, Viridiplantae, Streptophyta, Magnoliopsida, Brassicales, Brassicaceae.
GAUUCUGAUAUCUCUCUCUACCUCCUCUCUAUAUAUUGCAGAUAUAUACGCGUAAGAAUUAAGAACAAAGAAUUGGAAAAUCAAAGGGAAACGAGUUUAAGGCCAAGCCAAGAAGAUGAUAAGAUUUUGAACGCAUGCAUGCAGAUGAAUGAAUGAAUCUUCUAAACACUAUUUGUGAUUAUAUGAAUUGUAAAUAGAUUCAUAAAAACCAUAUACUAAUCAAGCCCUAGUUAGUUUUGAUUUGUAGCCUAUAUAAUAGGCGUAGAAGAAAGAGAUAAAUUAAAGAAGAAGAAGAGGAAGAUCU